This 458-nucleotide ribosomal RNA is filed under the name uncultured bacterium. RNAcentral describes it as "partial 16S ribosomal RNA". It matches the Rfam family "Bacterial small subunit ribosomal RNA", at positions 338 to 795 of the family's 1533-position model. The record is from RNAcentral.
CCUACGGGUGGCAGCAGUGGGGAAUAUUGCACAAUGGGGGAAACCCUGAUGCAGCGACGCCGCGUGAGUGAAGAAGUAAUUCGUUACGUAAAGCUCUAUCAGCAGGGAAGAAAUACUGACCUUACGGUCAGCAGACGGUACCUGAGGAAGAAGCACCGGCUAACUACGUCCCAGCAGCCGCGGUAAUACGGGGGGGGCAAGCGUUAUCCGGAUUUACUGGGUGUAAAGGGAGCGUAGACGGUGCGACAAGUCUGGAGUGAAAUGCCGGGGCUUAACUGCGGAACUGCUUUGGAAACUGGCGAACUAGAGUGCGGGAGGGGUAAGCGGAAUUCCUAGUGUAGCGGUGAAAGGCGUAGAUAUUAGGAGGAACACCGGUGGCGAAGGCGGCUUACUGGACCGUAACUGACGUUGAGGCUCGAAAGCGUGGGGAGCAAACAGGAUUAGAUACCCCAGUAGUC